RNAcentral lists this small nucleolar RNA (100 nucleotides) under Fundulus heteroclitus (mummichog). RNAcentral's name for it is "Small nucleolar RNA SNORD21 (ENSFHEG00000014338.1)". The record is from RNAcentral. Lineage: Eukaryota; Metazoa; Chordata; Actinopteri; Cyprinodontiformes; Fundulidae.
UCUCGGUGAUGAUAAACAACCUGCUGAGCUAAAUGUAGUUGGUCCUUCAUUAGCAUCGACUGAUGUUUACUGUCCGUUUCAAGACGGGGCUGAGAGAAGC